GGAUAGUUGGCUGAGUGGUCUAUAGCAGCGCAUUGCUAAUGCGUCGAAUGCGGUGAACUCCGUGUUCCGCACGUUCGAAUCGUGCACUAUCCG
Molecule: transfer RNA, 93 nt
Filed under: Bifidobacterium pseudolongum subsp. globosum
Lineage: Bacteria; Bacillati; Actinomycetota; Actinomycetes; Bifidobacteriales; Bifidobacteriaceae
Description: tRNA-Ser
Rfam family: tRNA
About the family: Transfer RNA (tRNA) molecules are approximately 80 nucleotides in length. Their secondary structure includes four short double-helical elements and three loops (D, anti-codon, and T loops). Further hydrogen bonds mediate the characteristic L-shaped molecular structure. tRNAs have two regions of fundamental functional importance: the anti-codon, which is responsible for specific mRNA codon recognition, and the 3' end, to which the tRNAs corresponding amino acid is attached (by aminoacyl-tRNA synthetases). tRNAs cope with the degeneracy of the genetic code in two manners: having more than one tRNA (with a specific anti-codon) for a particular amino acid; and 'wobble' base-pairing, i.e. permitting non-standard base-pairing at the 3rd anti-codon position.
Source: RNAcentral